Molecule: ribosomal RNA, 470 nt
Filed under: uncultured Leptolinea sp.
Lineage: Bacteria; Bacillati; Chloroflexota; Anaerolineae; Anaerolineales; Anaerolineaceae
Description: bacterial SSU rRNA
Rfam family: Bacterial small subunit ribosomal RNA
Source: RNAcentral
AAACUUAAAGGAAUUGACGGGACCCGCACAAGCAGCGGAGCGUGUGGUUUAAUUCGAGGCUACACGAAGAACCUUACCAGGGUUUGACAUGCAAGUGGUAGGAAUCCGAAAGGUGACCGACCUUCGGGGAGCUUGCACAGGUGCUGCAUGGCUGUCGUCAGCUCGUGUCGUGAGAUGUUCGGUUAAGUCCGCUAACGAGCGCAACCCUCGUCGUGUGUUAUACGUGUCACACGAUACUGCCGGUAUCAAGCCGGAGGAAGGUGGGGAUGAUGUCAAGUCAGCAUGGCCUUUAUAUCCUGGGCUACACACACGCUACAAUGGCAGAUACAAUAGGUUGCGAAACCGCGAGGUGGAGCCAAUCCUCAAAGUCUGUCUCAGUUCAGAUUGUAGGCUGCAACUCGCCUGCAUGAAGUUGGAGUUGCUAGUAAACGCAGGUCAGCUAUACUGCGUUGAAUACGUUCCCGGGGUUU